Small nucleolar RNA from Equus asinus (donkey), 134 nucleotides. The record is from Ensembl. NCBI's taxonomy places the organism in Eukaryota, Metazoa, Chordata, Mammalia, Perissodactyla, Equidae.
AGCCUCAUUCCAGAUGAAAAUGAGCAUUGUUGUUCAUGGGGUCCAGAAAUUGUUAAUGCAGCUACAUUGAGACACAAUCUAUGCUUCCAUCACAGUAAGUUGAUUGCAGUGGUGACAGUUAGACCUUAACAUUU